Molecule: long non-coding RNA, 2953 nt
Organism: Melopsittacus undulatus (budgerigar)
Lineage: Eukaryota; Metazoa; Chordata; Aves; Psittaciformes; Psittaculidae
Exons: 3
Source: RefSeq, a predicted model, not a curated record
GAAAAACAUGAGCAUCCCUCUGCUUAUUAACUAAGGUCAAUAUUUGAUGGUCCCUGACCCUCACAGAGGCAACUCGUCUUAGUUAUGUUCUUCUUACCUGAAAAACAAACAGCACAAAUACAUUACACGGCUUGCUCACGCCGAAAUGCUGCCAGCUUCACAGGAUGUGGAUACGGAGAAGAUAUAUUGCAUGGUCUUAUCAAGAAGAAACACUGCAUUGACAAAGAAUCAAUACUCAGAGCCCUACACUGGAUGCUGAUGGUGAGCUGCCAGUAAGCACUGUGGAUACCCUAAGCUGGGCAGACCUCACUCCUCAGGUAGGACCAAAUCUCUGCUCGAGAUCCUCCUUCUAGGCAAAUCUGUUUCCCUAUCAAGCCGUGUUUCCAAGGGCAGGUUUGCUCUUCCAUCCAAGACACGCUGUGUUCCCUCCUCAUGUGAGGAGAGGUUUCUUCAGCUCCGCAGUGGUGCCACCAGCUAUGUGAGACCACCAUGCCCAGCCACUGCCCUGCCUUCCAGCCCAUGAACGAUGCAUAAAGCAGGUUAAGCUUCCUCCUCACCUCUUUGCCACAGUUUAGCUGGGCUGCUGCAGACAUCACCUCCAAGCUUCUAUUCCCCAGCUGCUCCAAGAUCAGUGAUACAGGUAACAUUCCCAGCAUCCACCCUCAUCUCAUUAGUCCCUCAGAUGUCUGCAAUUUGCAGCACUACACAUCCCUUCAAGGUGCCUGACUGCUUAAGCUCAAGACCAGCACUGACCUGGGGCAGCUUGACCGGCUCAGGCUGCUGUGACACAAGGGCUGUAAGGAGCUUUGCCAGGGCUCCUCUUUGUUUAGGCCCAGUCUGUGACCUCUGGUCCUUACCUGAGCUGCACAGCAACCAUGCCUGGCCAGGUACUUCACACAGCCCAAGCUGUACACUUAUCUCUGACCUUUCUUGUUGCUUCUGUCUUGUCUGGUGGUCAGCAAGCAGUGGCUGAGCUGAUGGAUUUAGAUCUGCUCUUCUUGCUCAGGUGCAGUGAGGCUGUGCCAUGCUGGUGUCUGACAUGCUGGGCUUCUGGCUUGCCCUCCUUUAUGGAACCACUUGCACUUGCUGUUCCUUGACAGCAAAUGUUACACACCAAGUGCUUCAUGGAUGACCCAGGCUGGUUUCUCUGGUCAUGCUCCACAGCCAGUUCCUUGUUUCCUUACUCUGCCCUGGAUAGGGCUUCCUGCCCCAUGAGAGCCCAUCCCUCCUGCACCUGAUGCCCAUUGUGAGAGUGUUGUACAGAGCACUGCUGCUCUCCUUUUACCCAGCAUUGCAGCCAGGAUACCACUGGUGGGCUGAGAACUCAUGCAUCAGGGAAACUCUGCAAGAGAAGCAGAUAAAACUGGUUUGUAUUGAUGUGGGUGAAGCCGUUCACACUGGGGGACUGGUGGUUUGUGAAAUUCAAGAAAACAAGUGAUGGAAACAACCAGGCAAUUUUAUACAACUCAGCAGGUAAGUUUUGAUUUCAUUACACUACAAUGUAUUAGGAUUCAAAAGUACUGAAUUUCAAAUGCUCAGUGUAAGUCACAUUGCUUACAUUACAUUAGAAUGCUGAUACCAGUAAAACUAAUAAAGUUAACCCAGACUGAAAGAAAAAGGGAAGGAAUGUGGCUAUUCUUGCACAAUAAUAAAUCAAACCAGUGCAUUGCUAUUCUCCCCAGCGAAGAGUUACAGCAUGGACAGAUGGCACUGCCACCAAUUAGUACUAAUAAAAGGACAACCCCCAGCACCCUGAACUAAUUUGGAACCAUCUGUAUGGAAUUAAAAGCACUACCCGCAUUUUAUCUUUUUCAGUAUAUUAACACACCAAAAACUAACUGGGAACUACCAAUGAUGAUAAAUAUAGCGAACAGGAGAAGUUUGCCAUCAAGGGCAGUGCUCAGCAUACUUGUGAUUUCAGAGAAGCUUUAGCCCCAAGGACGGAAGAGAUGCAAGGUCCUAAAAGUGUCAUCUGUUAAAGGUCUGGCAUGUUCUCCAGGGUGCAGAGAUUUUCUUUCUGGAGUUGGUAUUUUUUUGGGGGUGGAAGGGAAGUGGUCUGUUACUGAUGCUAAUUGCAGGGGUUUUGUAUUAACAGAGCAGUGAUAGUUGCUGCCACCUGGUGAGCACUAAAAUAAAAGAAACACAGCUGAGAUGGGAAAGUGAAUAAUUCACUGGUGAACUCAGCUGGCUUCUGUUGAACAAGCUCCUUGUGUGACCUGUGGAGUCAUCGUCCAGGUUCUGCUGAUUAUUUUACUCUUAUUUUUCUUCUUAGCAUGCUUCAUAAAGCACAAAGAUGAAAUACACUCAUUUCACAGCUUAUCAUGCAAUCACAGAAUGGUUUGGGUUGGAAGACACCUUAAAGCUCACCCAGUUCCAACCCCCCUGCCAGGGGCAGGGACACCUUCCACCAGAGCAGGUUGCUCCAAGCCCUGUCCAACAUGGCCUUGGACACUGCCAGGGAUGGGGCAGCCACUGCUCCUCUGGGCAACCUGUGCCCAUGUCUCACCACCCUCACGGGGAACAACUUCCUAAUAUCUACCUUACCUACCCUCUGUCAGUUUAAAGUCAUUCCCCCUUGUUCUGUCACUAUAUGCCUUACAAAAAGUCUCUCUCCAGAUUCCUUGUAGGGCUAUUUUAGGUACUGGAAGGCUGCUGUAAGGUAUCCCUGGAACCUUCUCCAGGCUGAACAAUGCUGGAUAUAUAUGAUGGAUAUAUUAUUCUGGAGAUCAACAAUAAAAUACAAAUGUCAAAUAUCUAAAAUUCAAUGCUUGUUCACUUAACAAUGGUAUUUUUUUCCAUUUUUUUUAAGCAAUGCAACUAUCAUCUGUUGCCAUAAACUAGAAAUCUAUCCAGAGAAACAAAGUGCUGUGCUGUUUGUUCCUAUGGACUUGGUAAGGGAGAAAGGUGACUUGGUCAAUACUACAAGCAAACAAUUAUAUUAAUCAUGAUAGAC